RNAcentral lists this ribosomal RNA (536 nucleotides) under uncultured Polaromonas sp. Its description in RNAcentral is "bacterial SSU rRNA". It matches the Rfam family "Bacterial small subunit ribosomal RNA", at positions 87 to 619 of the family's 1533-position model. Lineage: Bacteria; Pseudomonadati; Pseudomonadota; Betaproteobacteria; Burkholderiales; Comamonadaceae. The record is from RNAcentral.
GCCGACGAGUGGCGAACGGGUGAGUAAUAUAUCGGAACGUGCCCAGUCGUGGGGGAUAACGUAGAGAAAUUUACGCUAAUACCGCAUACGAUCUAAGGAUGAAAGCGGGGGAUCGCAAGACCUCGCGCGAUUGGAGCGGCUGAUAUCAGAUUAGGUUGUUGGUGAGGUAAAAGCUCACCAAGCCGACGAUCUGUAGCUGGUUUGAGAGAACGACCAGCCACACUGGGACUGAGACACGGCCCAGACUCCUACGGGAGGCAGCAGUGGGGAAUUUUGGACAAUGGGCGAAAGCCUGAUCCAGCAAUGCCGCGUGCAGGAAGAAGGCCUUCGGGUUGUAAACUGCUUUUGUACGGAACGAAACGGUCUGCCCUAAUACGGUGGGCUAAUGACGGUACCGUAAGAAUAAGCACCGGCUAACUACGUGCCAGCAGCCGCGGUAAUACGUAGGGUGCGAGCGUUAAUCGGAAUUACUGGGCGUAAAGCGUGCGCAGGCGGUUAUAUAAGACAGUUGUGAAAUCCCCGGGCUCAACCUGGGA